AAGAAAGAAGCAUGAGAGGUUUAAUGCGGUUGGCUUGAAACCAUCAUAUGAGGGUUCGAUUCCUUCCUUUCUUG
RNAcentral lists this transfer RNA (74 nucleotides) under Rhegmatorhina hoffmannsi (white-breasted antbird). Its description in RNAcentral is "tRNA-Ser". It matches the Rfam family "tRNA". From Rfam's summary of the family: Transfer RNA (tRNA) molecules are approximately 80 nucleotides in length. Their secondary structure includes four short double-helical elements and three loops (D, anti-codon, and T loops). The record is from RNAcentral. Lineage: Eukaryota; Metazoa; Chordata; Aves; Passeriformes; Thamnophilidae.